CCUACGGGAGGCAGCAGUGAGGAAUAUUGGUCAAUGGACGCAAGUCUGAACCAGCCAUGCCGCGUGCAGGAAGACGGCUCUAUGAGUUGUAAACUGCUUUUGCACGAGGGUAAACGCAGAUACGCGUAUCUGUCUGAAAGUAUCGUACGAAUAAGGAUCGGCUAACUCCGUGCCAGCAGCCGCGGUAAUACGGAGGAUUCAAGCGUUAUCCGGAUUUAUUGGGUUGAAAGGGUGCGUAGGCGGUCGGAUAAGUUAGAGGUGAAAUCCCGGGGCUCAACUUCGGAAUUGCCUCUGAUACUGGUAGGCUAGAGAGUUGUAGAGGGAGGUAGAAUGUAUGGUGUAGCGGUGAAAUGCGUAGAGAUC
This 363-nucleotide ribosomal RNA is filed under the name uncultured bacterium. Its description in RNAcentral is "partial 16S ribosomal RNA". It matches the Rfam family "Bacterial small subunit ribosomal RNA", at positions 338 to 698 of the family's 1533-position model. The record is from RNAcentral.